Molecule: long non-coding RNA, 466 nt
Filed under: Pan troglodytes (chimpanzee)
Lineage: Eukaryota; Metazoa; Chordata; Mammalia; Primates; Hominidae
Description: long non-coding RNA NONPTRT009732
Source: RNAcentral
AUACCAUUAAGCCCUCAACACAUGGGCAGCGAUGCAGAGAGAGUGAAGAGACUUGCCAGACAGAAAAGGCGGACUUUGUCCUAACCUACGUUUCUGAAAACUCAGCCAGAAUGAAGAUGGGAGGCAGGCAGCACGGCUGAUGGGUCCCUUGGGAGCCAUAAACAUCCAAUUCAACCUUGUGUGCUCCUGGUCCUCACCCGAAAUGACCAGGCCAACUUUGUGGAAGGGGUGAGUCAUGGCUGACAAGCUUUGCAGGCCUCCACAGCGGCACACUACACAACUCAGCAGGGGAAAUGUUUCCACGUUUGCACAUUUUCCAGCAGUUGGUCCAGGAAUGCACGCCCAGUUAGCCUUGGCACACACUGGCCCAGCCCAGUACUGCCUCUCUGAUGUCAAGGGAGUUUCUUUUUCAAGUCCAACUCAAAACACAUUCCUGGACACCCGGAAAUAAAGCUGGAAAAUGGAG